RNAcentral lists this long non-coding RNA (358 nucleotides) under Ornithorhynchus anatinus (platypus). Its description in RNAcentral is "lncRNA (ENSOANG00000048481.1)". The record is from RNAcentral. Lineage: Eukaryota; Metazoa; Chordata; Mammalia; Monotremata; Ornithorhynchidae.
CCUAGAUUUCCUUUGCUAUUGCUAAUAAAUUGAUUUUUUUUUCUUUUUCAGCAAUAACACACCUUGCCAAAUGAAGGACAGGUAUUGCUGUCUUCUCCCACAGGCCUCAGCCUUAGAAUUGGACAAAGAUGUUAGAGUAAGAGCUACCUGUCCUUCACCCGUCCCGAUUUGGACAUGAGACGGGGCACUUACGUCAGAGGAGGAAGUCCCAGAGAGGUGGCAAAAGGGAAUUUGUCAUCUUGGCUCCAGGUGCUGCGUUAGGAAGAAAUAAUAAUAAUUACGGUAUGUGUCAAGCAGCUCAUUGCGGGCAGGGAAUGUGUCUGUUCUACUGUUAUAUUGUACUCACCCGUGGGCUCAG